RNAcentral lists this ribosomal RNA (406 nucleotides) under uncultured bacterium. RNAcentral describes it as "partial 16S ribosomal RNA". It matches the Rfam family "Bacterial small subunit ribosomal RNA", at positions 30 to 526 of the family's 1533-position model. The record is from RNAcentral.
AUUGAACGCUGGCGGCAGGCCUAACACAUGCAAGUCGAGCGAGCGGCGGACGGGUGAGUAAUGUCUGGGAAACUGCCUGAUGGAGGGGGAUAACUACUGGAAACGACUGCUAAUACCGCAUACUGAAGGAGGGGAUUGCGUCUGAUUAGCUAGUUGGAGGGGUAACGGCCCACCAAGGCGAUGAUCAGUAGCCGGUCUGAGAGGAUGAACGGCCACAUUGGGACUGAGACACGGCCCAGACUCCUACGGGAGGCAGCAGUGAGGAAUAUUGGUCAAUGGGCGUUAGCCUGAACCAGCCAAGUAGCGUGAAGGAUGAAGGUCUAUGGGUCGUAAACUUCUUUUAUAUAAGAAUAUGUAUUAUAUGAAUAAGGAUCGGCUAACUCCGUGCCAGCAGCCGCGGUAAUAC